GCCUUCAUGAAGCUGGAAUUGCUAGUAAUGGCAGGUCAGCAUACUGCCGUGAAUACGUUCCCGGGCCUUGUACACACCGCCCGUCACACCAUGAGAGUUGGAAAUACCCGAAGCCUGUGAGCUAACUGUAAAGAGGCAGCAGUCGAAGGUAGAGCCAAUGAUUGGGGUGAAGUCGUAACAAGGUACC
This 187-nucleotide ribosomal RNA is filed under the name uncultured bacterium. Its description in RNAcentral is "partial 16S ribosomal RNA". It matches the Rfam family "Bacterial small subunit ribosomal RNA", at positions 1314 to 1500 of the family's 1533-position model. The record is from RNAcentral.